This 63-nucleotide transfer RNA is filed under the name Anadara sp. SS-2018. RNAcentral's name for it is "tRNA-Ser". Lineage: Eukaryota; Metazoa; Mollusca; Bivalvia; Arcoida; Arcidae. The record is from RNAcentral. RNAcentral also lists the same sequence under 1 other name.
GGCUUCUCAGUUUACUCCUGCCUUGAAAGCGGGAGGCGGGCAAAAGAAAAUGUCCAGGAGCUU